This 74-nucleotide transfer RNA is filed under the name Archangium sp. RNAcentral's name for it is "tRNA-Trp". It matches the Rfam family "tRNA". From Rfam's summary of the family: Transfer RNA (tRNA) molecules are approximately 80 nucleotides in length. Their secondary structure includes four short double-helical elements and three loops (D, anti-codon, and T loops). Lineage: Bacteria; Pseudomonadati; Myxococcota; Myxococcia; Myxococcales; Archangiaceae. The record is from RNAcentral.
ACGGCAGAAGCCCGAUCGGUAAGGGUACGGGCCUCCAAAACCCGCUGCUGAAGGUUCGACUCCUUCCUGCCGUG